RNAcentral lists this long non-coding RNA (795 nucleotides) under Carica papaya (papaya). RNAcentral describes it as "long non-coding RNA (CPAP_LNC000420)". Lineage: Eukaryota; Viridiplantae; Streptophyta; Magnoliopsida; Brassicales; Caricaceae. The record is from RNAcentral.
AAAUAUUUAUCGUGAUAGAUACAAAAUAUUCUCAAAAUCAAGCCACGUCAAUACAAAAAAAUAACUAUCUUAUAUCGUAUUUCUCGUAAGUGCUUUUGUUACGUUUCGCCGGAUGCAGUACAAUUUAUUCAUAGCACUGCAUUUGAUGGAAAUCAGAUAGCAAUCUUACAGUUUAGCAUAAUGUCUUGUUACCAGUAUAUCUUUAUUUCACCAAUGGAAUAUGUCAGCUCUCAUCACAAUUAUAUGAGUAACAUUUCCAGCUGUAAGACUUGCCCAUGAAAGAAAUUAAAUCUAGAACCAUUUUGGGAAGAAGAAGACUAUGCAAGCCAUCAUUAGUACACUCUCGACUGUGCAGUUCUCAUGGAUCUCAUUUGGACUCAGCUUCCUGCCCUUGUAAGGCACAUAAACUAUGAGGCGUCCUAGAAACCACAAGAAAAUUUUAAGUCCUAUGAUCACCAUUACUGGUUAGGUGUCCGUUGUGGUACAAAGUUACAGGUUCUCUCAAGUAUACAGCAUAAUAAUUAACAAUUUUUUUUUUUUUUUUCAGAUGAAGUGUUUAAAAUAAUAAUUGUUUUUUUAAUUUAAUCUUUUUAGUUAUCAUCUUUCCAGGAGGAAAGCACUAAGGAGGUCUCAGAUUAUUCCUUGUUCAGCUGUGUAUAUAUCUAAUCUCUAUAUCUUCGGUUUCUGUUUGCAGAAAACUUUACCAUCCAAAACCAAAAGUAUUGUUCAGGUGCAUCCCUCCAGGGUAGACCUGUGAAAAAAAUCUCCAAGAUUACCAGCUUAAGAACUUUUUCN